UGAAUGUGUAUAUAACUAUCAAACAGGUGU
RNAcentral lists this non-coding RNA (30 nucleotides) under Mus musculus (house mouse). The record is from RNAcentral. Lineage: Eukaryota; Metazoa; Chordata; Mammalia; Rodentia; Muridae.